RNAcentral lists this ribosomal RNA (807 nucleotides) under uncultured Acidobacteriota bacterium. Its description in RNAcentral is "bacterial SSU rRNA". It matches the Rfam family "Bacterial small subunit ribosomal RNA", at positions 56 to 896 of the family's 1533-position model. The record is from RNAcentral. Lineage: Bacteria; Pseudomonadati; Acidobacteriota.
UGCAAGUCGCACGAGAAAGUGGAGCAAUCCAUGAGUAAAGUGGCGUACGGGUGAGUAACACGUGGAUCAUCUACCUCUUGGUGGGGAAUAACCCUGGGAAACCGGGGCUAAUACCGCAUAAGCCUGCGAAGGGAAAGCAGCAAUGCGCCGAGAGAGGAGUCCGCGGCCGAUUAGCUAGUUGGCGGGGUAACGGCCCACCAAGGCGAAGAUCGGUAGCCGGCCUGAGAGGGCACACGGCCACACUGGCACUGAAACACGGGCCAGACUCCUACGGGAGGCAGCAGUGGGGAAUCUUGUACAAUGGAGGAAACUCUGAUGCAGCGACGCCGCGUGAGCGAUGAAGCCCCUCGGGGUGUAAAGCUCUUUCGACGGGAAAGAUAAUGACGGUACCCGAAGAAGAAGCUGCGGCUAACUACGUGCCAGCAGCCGCGGUAAUACGUAGGCAGCAAGCGUUGUUCGGAAUUACUGGGCGUAAAGAGUGUGUAGGCGGUGUUCUAAGUCUGUUGUGAAAUCUCCCGGCUUAACUGGGAGGGUGCGGCGGAGACUGGAAUGCUAGAGUGUGGGAGAGGUAAGCGGAAUUCCUGGUGUAGCGGUGAAAUGCGUAGAUAUCAGGAGGAACACCUGUGGUGUAGACAGCUUACUGGACCACGACUGACGCUGAGACACGAAAGCGUGGGUAGCAAACAGGAUUAGAUACCCUGGUAGUCCACGCCCUAAACGAUGCAUACUUGGUGUGAGCCAUUCAUUUGGUUCGUGCCGGAGCUAACGCGUUAAGUAUGCCGCCUGGGGAGUACGGUCGCAAGGCUG